GCCGAAAUAGCUCAGUUGGGAGAGUGUUGGACUGAAGAUCUAAAUGUCCCUUCUUCGAUCCCGGGUUUUGGCA
Molecule: transfer RNA, 73 nt
Filed under: Cordylochernes scorpioides
Lineage: Eukaryota; Metazoa; Arthropoda; Arachnida; Pseudoscorpiones; Chernetidae
Description: tRNA-Phe
Rfam family: tRNA
About the family: Transfer RNA (tRNA) molecules are approximately 80 nucleotides in length.
Source: RNAcentral